UACAGAGGGGGCAAGCGUUGUUCGGAAUUACUGGGCGUAAAGCGCACGUAGGCGGCUUUCUAAGUCGGGGGUGAAAUCCUGGAGCUCAACUCCAGAACUGCCUUCGAUACUGGAGAGCUCGAGUCCGGGAGAGGUGAGUGGAACUGCGAGUGUAGAGGUGAAAUUCGUAGAUAUUCGGAAGAACACCAGUGGCGAAGGCGGCUCACUGGUCCGGUACUGACGCUGAGGUGCGAAAGCGUGGGGAGCAAACAGG
Molecule: ribosomal RNA, 253 nt
Filed under: uncultured bacterium
Lineage: Bacteria
Description: partial 16S ribosomal RNA
Rfam family: Bacterial small subunit ribosomal RNA
Source: RNAcentral